CCUGUCUUUAAAGAAAGUGUUUAAAUGCUCAUUAAGUGGAGGUGGAUCAUCAUAAAGUUCUUCAUCCCUCUCAUCUUCAUAUUGAGUAGGCUGAGGAAAAGGUGGAAGGUGGGGAUUGGUCUUGCUAUCUCCGGAGUGGCAGAGGCAGAAGAAAAUCUGCAUAUAUGUGGACCCAUGCAGUUCAAGCCCAUGAUGUUCAGGGGUAACCGUACUUGUAAUAUGAUUACAAAGACUGCUUCAGAUUUCUUUAGAGUUAGUUCUCUUUGUCCUUAGAAUAUGUCCUUCUUAGGAAUGUACAGUGAGGCAGUUAUUAAUUCCAGGAAAAACAAAAAGUUAUGCAAGAAAGAAAAUAUAAACAUAGAAUGCCCUAAGAUGUCACUGUGAGCAACAUUUUUGACAUCAUAAAAAUGGAAGCACUGAAUAUUUAAUCAAAAAUUGCAAUGGGAGAAUGAGAGAAGGAAGAGAACUAAAGCCUCAUUUCACAAAAGGAAACCAGUAUAUAAUGUCUAAAAUGGAAGAAACCGAUUUUUAAAAAUGGUCUGAGUUUGAUACUGACAUGAAAGUUUUCUUUUUCUCCAGUCGAAUUUAAAUUGCCACUCAUUUCCAUCACACGGAAUUUACACUCACUCCUCUUCUCUGCUGCCUCCCAGCCACCCUUUUUGACUCCAGCUCAGGAAAUGGAGACAUCUUUUUUUUUUUUUUUACUGAAGUGGGAUUGUUAUUUAAAUGUUCUUUGGGUAAUCCUGUUCCCUGGACAACCCUGACUUGGACAGUGUCCCCUAGGGCAGACCCUCCAAUUCAGGUUGGAUCUCUUGCCAGGCAGAUGUGUGAGUUCUCUGUGGCAGUAGCUCAGGCAGGCUGAGGGAGGGGUGGCGAUUAGCGCGCUCCUUCAGCUCCUUCACCGAGGAGGGGAUUUGAAGUGAAUCUUGG
RNAcentral lists this long non-coding RNA (930 nucleotides) under Homo sapiens (human). Its description in RNAcentral is "HSALNT0178103". Lineage: Eukaryota; Metazoa; Chordata; Mammalia; Primates; Hominidae. The record is from RNAcentral.